UUCGCGGCCUUGUAGUUCCCCCCUUUUGUCCUUGUCUGUCAAACUUCAUGUCUGAAUACAGUAUUCUGCCAUCCGCGGAGGCUCUAUAGGGUGCAGGAGUGAUACUGCCUGUGCGCGCCGUAGCCAAGAUUCUGUGUGUGUUUCGUAGGGCUUCUCUGUACCUGUGAAGAGAGAAUAAUGGAGUCGGUUGAUGUCUAUGCAGUCGCAUCUGGGUUCUAUACUUUUGCCAAGAUGAUCUGGUGAACCAUCUGCUCAGCGAAUUGCUCAUGAGUUCCAUUUCGGACGGUCAGAACCUCGACUGUUCGUAAGUUCAGAGGGAAUGGGGCUGUUGGGAACCGCACACAUGGGAAGUUUCACGUUUGAAAGGACCGCUUGUCAUCCUUCAAGUCUUCAGCGGGUGUAUCAGACGCUAUUUCUUGCUUGGAUCACGAACAAGUAUCUGUUAGCACUGUCACGAUGCCGCUGCACACGAGCUAACCGUUGUUGCUUCCGAAGCUCCUACAAGCUACUCACAGUAUGGGAAUCACUGAUCGCACGGCAAGAUUCGAAAGAAAGUCUGUCUGGACUUUUACCGGCUGGCCGAGGUCGGCAGUGUUAACGAGCUGACAGUGUUUCGCGACUUCUAUCUUCGGCGCUAGUCUGGCAGUACCGGUCCUGGUAGCCUAAAGCAGUACAUGAUUGUGUGAAGUUCGGAUGACCCGGGCAGGUCAACGGGGGAGUGCGUCAGCAAGCACGUUUCCCUAGUACUGAAGUAAGCGCGGAUGUUCGGUACGACUUCUACCGAGAUCCGGUUGAUAUAUCUCUUCAUGAGGGGUAGUAACGAGGCCUAACUUAAAUCGUUUCAAGUGCGGUUUCAAUGAACGACUUUCCGGGGGGCUUAAGCCACUUGAAUAGGCAUCGCGGCUGAGUUCCACUGCAGGAGAUAUACGUCCGUUUUGUGUGAUUCUGCCUCCUAUUCCUAUUGCUGUUAACGAGUGGCUACCGGUAUCCGACGCCAGGAGAAUGGCUCCGUUUUCGAACCGUCCUUCGUCCUCCGUGGAGAUGAAAAUACCAUUAUGGGCCGAAAGUGUGCCAGCUCGCAUCAGUGAUUCUUCGUCGCUAGAGGGGCUCCAGUAAAUGUGGUCGUGCAGGCUGCUUCUAGCAUUGAAUGAAUGAAGGUCACAGCCGUCGUUUGUCUCCGGCGGUUACGGUGUGCUGAUUGAAGAAACUGUGUUGAGGGAGUCAACGGAUUUCGUCGUGAGCAUCUCAAAGAACUACAACCUCACUUGCUUGCCUGUCAAUUGCCAUGCCGGUGCGUGGUGUGAUCUGGUGACGCUGAACAGAGUGUACAAGGUUUUGCUGCUGAAGCCCUUUGUGACACAGGGCAGGGUCUGAGGGGUUGCAUUGGAUUCAGGAAUCCACACCGUGUGGAUGGAAGUAGAUGGUAUGUAAAACAACUGUAAUACAACCUCUGAAAGGCAAGUAAAU
Molecule: long non-coding RNA, 1467 nt
Filed under: Toxoplasma gondii VEG
Lineage: Eukaryota; Apicomplexa; Conoidasida; Eucoccidiorida; Sarcocystidae
Source: RNAcentral